Molecule: ribosomal RNA, 246 nt
Filed under: uncultured bacterium
Lineage: Bacteria
Description: partial small subunit ribosomal RNA
Rfam family: Bacterial small subunit ribosomal RNA
Source: RNAcentral
AGAAUCAACGCUGGCGGCGUGCCUAACACAUGCAAGUCGAACGAGAAAGUGGAGCAAUCCAUUAGUAAAGUGGCGCACGGGUGAGUAACACGUGACUAACCUACCCUUGAGUGGGGGAUAACCUAGGGAAACCUGGGCUAAUACCGCAUAAUACCUUCGGGUCAAAGGAGCAAUUCGCUUAAGGAGGGGGUCGCGGCCGAUUAGUUAGUUGGCGGGGUAAUGGCCCACCAAGACUAUGAUCGGUAU